Molecule: long non-coding RNA, 478 nt
Filed under: Ananas comosus (pineapple)
Lineage: Eukaryota; Viridiplantae; Streptophyta; Magnoliopsida; Poales; Bromeliaceae
Description: long non-coding RNA (ACOM_LNC030162)
Source: RNAcentral
UAUAAAAUAUCUUAAAUAAGAGUUAAUUGCAUACAGCUUCAUGUAAACAUAUCGAAUAGCAAAUAUAUUCCUUCAAAGUUUAACUUUUUAUUUUUAUACCUAUAAAAGUCCAGUGAUAUUCAUAUUUGCCCCUCUAGUUUAUUACCGUCAGAGCAUUGCUUAUUUUCUAAUAGCAGUUAAGUUAAAUAACAUUUUUGCCCUUACAAAUGUAUCCCUCGAAAUGUCCUAGUUAUUAGAAUUAUGCAGAAAUGUCCUCCCAAAAAGUAUUUUACCAAUAAAAUAAGAGGAGUAAAAUGGUCAAUUUAACUUAUACACUAAUCAGGGAUAAGUAUUUUACUCACGAUUAACUAUAUUUUUCUAGUGAACCCUAACAGCAGCGGUAUAUUUGAAAUAGUAGGACUUUUGCAGGGAUAAAAUAAAAUGUUGAAUUUUGUAGGGAUAUAUCUGUUAUUCGAUACGUUUACAGUAACUUGUAUGC